GAUCCUGGCUCAGGAUGAACGCUGGCGGCGUGCCUAAUACAUGCAAGUCGAGCGAACUGACGAGGAGCUUGCUCCUUUGACGUUAGCGGCGGACGGGUGAGUAACACGUGGGUAACCUACCUAUAAGACUGGAAUAACUCCGGGAAACCGGGGCUAAUGCCGGAUAACAUGUUGAACCGCAUGGUUCAACAGUGAAAGACGGUCUUGCUGUCACUUAUAGAUGGACCCGCGCCGUAUUAGCUAGUUGGUAAGGUAACGGCUUACCAAGGCGACGAUACGUAGCCGACCUGAGAGGGUGAUCGGCCACACUGGAACUGAGACACGGUCCAGACUCCUACGGGAGGCAGCAGUAGGGAAUCUUCCGCAAUGGGCGAAAGCCUGACGGAGCAACGCCGCGUGAGUGAUGAAGGUCUUCGGAUCGUAAAGCUCUGUUGUUAGGGAAGAACAUAUGUGUAAGUAACUGUGCACAUCUUGACGGUACCUAACCAGAAAGCCAGGGGUUAA
RNAcentral lists this ribosomal RNA (504 nucleotides) under Staphylococcus agnetis. RNAcentral's name for it is "bacterial SSU rRNA". It matches the Rfam family "Bacterial small subunit ribosomal RNA", at positions 15 to 501 of the family's 1533-position model. Lineage: Bacteria; Bacillati; Bacillota; Bacilli; Caryophanales; Staphylococcaceae. The record is from RNAcentral.